RNAcentral lists this long non-coding RNA (870 nucleotides) under Nicotiana tabacum (common tobacco). Its description in RNAcentral is "long non-coding RNA (NTAB_LNC003860)". Lineage: Eukaryota; Viridiplantae; Streptophyta; Magnoliopsida; Solanales; Solanaceae. The record is from RNAcentral.
AGAAAUGAAGAGAUAAAAAAAUCUGAAAAAUCAGAAACAGCUGAGUUAAGAAAUACUUGAAGAUUUUGGCAUUUUGGGUAAAAAUUGGUUUAAUCCUGCAGUUUAAUCCUUCAAUUUUGAAACCUUCAAAGUGGUUGAUUUAUUCUUGAUUUAAAAGAUGAUUUGAGGGUUGCUUGACUCUUGUUCCAUUGCUGAAUUUCUGGGCUGAUCCUGCUGUUCAUUUCCUCUUGUUGAAUCUCUGCUGUUGUUUCUUCUUAGCCUCUAACUAAGUUUGCUGGUCUAUAUUGUUGUAUUCAGGUACAUGUUCUUUAAUUCUACCUAAUGUAAAGCCUGAUUCGAGUUUGAUAUGGAAAUCUGGAGCUUUGGAGCAUAGCGUCAACCUAUUCCUUUUGAUGUAGUUUAGUUUCAUUCUUAUUUUAAAUCAUGAGUUAUAUGGUGCAUGUUUUUUGCUGGUUGGUGACAGUAUACCUUAAGGGUCGAACUCGGAUUGGAAUUAGCAAGAGACUCAAUUUUCUGUUAAAUGUUUCAUAAUUAAAUGUUGGUGUUGUAUAACUGAACCUUUAUCAUGGUGUUUGAUUUGAGCCAUCAUGAAAGCUUGAUUAACAGUCUGCCUAGAUAAGUCAAUAGUUGAAUUUUUGCAUUCAACCACGAUUAGUAGCUUGCUUAGUCAGAUCUUGGACUCUUUUGCUUUGAGUCUUGGUCGAAGUUGUUGUCAGCAUGUUUAUAAGGCAUACGUAACUCUUUACCACAUGGAGGUUUCCUAAAGUUAACAACAUGUUUGAAUCUAUGAUCUCGUAGGUUUUUUGCUUGGGAUUUUAAGUUAUUAAACAUGUUACUUAAGAUUAUGCUGGUGUAAUGUCAAUUUCCCAG